ACUCCUACGGGAGGCAGCAGUGGGGAAUCUUGCGCAAUGGGCGAAAGCCUGACGCAGCAACGCCGCGUGAGUGAUGAAGGCCUUCGGGUCGUAAAGCUCUGUCAGGAGGGAAGAAUAAAUGACGGUACCUCCAAAGGAAGCACCGGCUAACUCCGUGCCAGCAGCCGCGGUAAUACGGAGGGUGCAAACGUUGCUCGGAAUCAUUGGGCGUAAAGCGCGCGUAGGCGGCCUAGUAAGUCUGAUGUGAAAGCCCAGGGCUCAACCCUGGAAAGCCAUUGGAAACUACUCGGCUUGAGAGCAGGAGGGGCAGGUGGAAUUCCUGGUGUAGGAGUGAAAUCCGUAGAGAUCAGGAGGAACACCGGUGGCGAAGGCGACCUGCUGGACUGUAUCUGACGCUGAGGCGCGAAAGCGUGGGGAGCAAACAGGAUUAGAUACCCUGGUAGGACAGU
RNAcentral lists this ribosomal RNA (449 nucleotides) under uncultured bacterium. RNAcentral describes it as "bacterial SSU rRNA". It matches the Rfam family "Bacterial small subunit ribosomal RNA", at positions 335 to 799 of the family's 1533-position model. The record is from RNAcentral.